CUCGAGCUAGAUUAAAAAAAAAAAACAGGCAGAAGACACAAAAUCCAAAAUGAGAGAGGAAACAUUACAACCAAUGCCACAGAAAUAUGAAAGAAUCAUAAGAGACUAUUGUGAAUAAUUAUAUGCCAUUAAAUGAAUAACUUGGAAGAAAUAGAUAAAUUCAUAGAACACCCAAGCUACCAGACUGAAUCAUGAGGGAAUGGAAAAUGUAAACAGAUAUGCUAGUAAGAAGAUUGAAUCAGUAAUCCUAAAAUUUCCAAUAAAGAAAAUCCCAGGACAAGAUGGCUUCACUACUGAAUUCAUCCAAACAUUUAAGAAUUAAAGCCAAUCCUUCUUAAACUCUUCAAAAAAUUGGAGAAAAGCAAACACUGCAAACUUGUCAUUGACUCCAGAACUUCCCUAAUACCAAAGCCAGAUGAAGACCCUACAAGAAAACUACAGACCAAUAUCCCUAAUGAAUAUACAUCAAAAAAUCCUCAUCAAAAUACUAUCAAUCAGAAUUUAAUCACAUUAAAAUGACAACACAUCAUGACUACACGGGAUUUUACCUGGGAUGCAAGAAUGAGUCAACAUACGAAAGUCAAUGAAUAUGAUAAACCACAUUAAGAGAACAAGGAAUAGGCCAGGUGCGGUGGCUUACGCCUGUAAUCUCAACACUUUGGGAGGCCGAGGCAGGUGGAUCACGAGGUCAGGAGAUCGAGACCAUCCUGGCUAACAUGGUGAAACCCCGUCUCUACUAAAAAAUACAAAAAAAAACAGCCGGGCGAGGUGGCGGGCGCCUGUAGUCCCAGCUACUCGGGAGGCUGAGGCAGGAGAAUGGUGUAAACCCCGGAGGCGGAGCUUGCAGUGAGCUGAGAUCCGUCCACUGCACUCCAGCCUGGGCGACAGAGCAAGACUCCGUCUCAAAAGAAAAAAAAAAAAAAGACAGAGAUUUUAAGAAGGGAUUUUUAAAAAGAGACGCAGCUUGCUGUCUACAAGAGAUGCCCUCUAAAUAUAGAGUCACAAAUAGGUGGAAAGCAAAUGGAUAGAAAAUUAUACCAGGGGCGGAGCAAGAAGGCCUUAAUAGAGCGGCUCCAGCCUUCAACUCCCAGCCAGC
Molecule: long non-coding RNA, 1096 nt
Filed under: Papio anubis (olive baboon)
Lineage: Eukaryota; Metazoa; Chordata; Mammalia; Primates; Cercopithecidae
Description: lncRNA (ENSPANG00000048548.1)
Source: RNAcentral